CAGCAGCCACGGUAAUACGUAGGUGGCAAGCGUUGUCCGGAAUUAUUGGGCGUAAAGGGCUCGCAGGCGGUUUCUUAAGUCUGAUGUGAAAGCCCCCGGCUCAACCGGGGAGGGUCAUUGGAAACUGGGAAACUUGAGUGCAGAAGAGGAGAGUGGAAUUCCACGUGUAGCGGUGAUAUGCGUAGAGAUGUGGAGGAACACCAGUGGCGAAGGCGACUCUCUGGUCUGUAACUGACGCUGAGGAGCGAAAGCGUGGGGAGCGAACAGGAUUAGAUACCCGGGUAGUCCCUGUCUCUUAUAC
This 301-nucleotide ribosomal RNA is filed under the name uncultured bacterium. RNAcentral's name for it is "partial 16S ribosomal RNA". It matches the Rfam family "Bacterial small subunit ribosomal RNA", at positions 509 to 807 of the family's 1533-position model. The record is from RNAcentral.